Long non-coding RNA from Dermochelys coriacea (leatherback sea turtle), 695 nucleotides. RefSeq lists it as uncharacterized. The transcript is spliced from 2 exons. Lineage: Eukaryota; Metazoa; Chordata; Testudines; Dermochelyidae. The record is from RefSeq and is a predicted model, not a curated record.
GAGUGUAAGAGCACAGAUGACAAUGCAGAGCAGUUCUGGGUGGAAGUAUACAAUUUUCAAGACAGUAGUGGUGAAGGAUGGUUUAAAGAAUUAGCCCUGUUUGCACUUUCCCUACUCGCCAUGCCUCUGAAUAACGCUGAUGUGGAAUGAUGAUCAUCUGAGAGAACACAUGUGAAGUCCAAGCACCAGAACAGGAUGGGUCACCGGACUCUGAGCAAUAUACUGCAUGUCCGCUAUGGGUUACGAAGACUGGGGAUUUGUUGUAAGGAUUUUGUCCCACACUGUGGUAUGCUUCAGUGGUUCAACACAGAAAUGUACCACAUUGAGGCAACAGAGACCAUGAAGGAGGGAGAGAGUGAAGAUGACCAUUUUUAAUCAUGACUUGAUUGUGGGGAGGCUGACCCUGUGCAGUCCUUGCUGGAAAUCCUCAGUCACUGAAUUUUGGGUCUCCAUGUGCUUUUCUAUGGGAGUUGAGGUUUUUAGGCACUAGGAGAAAGACAAUGAAGUCACCCAAAAGUUACACUUAUACCUUGCAUUCAGUAUCUAAUUCAGUGUCAAUAGCAUUGUUGUUGCUAUGACAGGGACAAAUCUCUUUUUUCUAGGUCUUUUCUCCUGUAGGUGAUACCCAGCUGCUGGAUUUUCCGAGUGGAGGGUAUCUAGCAAACUUAGGUGCCAGAAACAGAGAACUGUGUCUU